UCCCCGGCAGUCACAGUCACGGAAUGGGUUGGAAGGGACCUUAAAGAUCACGGCAGAGGGGGUGGAAUUUGAUGGUCUUUAAGGUCCCAUCCAACCCAAACCAUUCCGGGAUUCCAUGCUCUAGUUCCAAUCCCACAGCCCUCGUGAUGUUCAUUGUGCUGCUGAAAAGGAUGAGCAAAAGGCCAGAGCAGGGAGCAAAAAAUCAAUACGCUGCAGGAAGACAGAAGAUCUGUUUCUAUUCUUCGUCUCUGAUGCCGGGUACCCAGGGAACAUCACUGCAAACAAGGCUGGGAGCUACUGCCCUCCUGCUCAAGCCAGGUUCCCUCAAAGCUACCCUGGCUCCUCUGCACAGGCUGAGGAGUCACUUGUGCUCAGCCACUUCAUGCUCUGCCAACCUGCUGCUUGUGCACUGUGGGAACGUAUUGGACACGUCCAGACAAAUCAGGCUCCCCUCGACAGGCUCGACAAGGGAGCCAGCAGCUACAGGAGCUCUCCGAGUGGAACAGAAAUGAAGGGAUUGGCAUCCCGGGCAGUAAAAGCAUCUCUCAGAAGAUAAACCAGCCUCGCUCACAAGCCAGCCCAACCUGAAGGGGUUGGAAAGACUGUUCAGGUCACAGGAAGAUGCAGGUAGGGAUUUUCUUGGUGUGCUGAGGAGGUGGAGGAUGAACAAGAUGCAGGAUCAAAGGCUCCCUGCUGUUCCAGGCAUCAUCCUUUCAACAGCUACACAAUGCAUCCAAAACACCUCGAAAAUGAGCUGAUACAGCAGUUGAAUAGGUGAAGUCCUCAAGAGCAGCAGGAUGUGAUGUCUGGUAUUAGCCCAGAUGGUGACACCAUCCAUCCGUCCAUCCAUCCAUCCAUCCAUCCAUCCAUCCAUCCAUCCAUCCAUCCAUCCCUUCCACAGGGGCCUCCUUCCAGCAGGAGCCUCCCUAUAAAUCAGGGGGUGAGGAAUAAGCAUGGAGCAUCGGAACUGCAGAAGCAGCAGCACUGCAGUCAUAAAUCAGGACCUAAUUCAAUCUUGUGAGAUGCCUCGUUUGAUUAAUUUAUGUCAGCAUUUUCUCUUCCACCGGCGGCUGCUGUCCCUCCCUGCAUCGCCUCUGCCUCCACACUCCUCUGGACAAUCCAGCAGGCUCCAGGCAGGAUGGAUGGCCAGGAGGGGACACAGCCAGGCCCCACCCAAAGAGAUCUCCAUGGGACUUAACCAAGCCUGACCUCCUGCCCUCUGCCAAAACGCCUGGAUAUGGUGGUUACACCCAUCUGCCACCCCAGGGCAGGGCCACUGAUGUUCUUCAGUCACGAUGAAAGACACUUUUGAACACCUUCUCAACAUGGCAGAGACUCCCUCUGACCCUUGUCUUUUCCCACAUAUUGCUCGCAGCAACAGAAUCUAGCAUCACUAUAUAAAAAACCCCCCGACCUUUAAAAUGGGAGGUGAUGGGGUUGUUUGUCACAGGAAAACCAAAUGCCCGUUGCCACCUUAAAAUAAAGAUGGACCUUAUUGAAAAUCCAGAUGCUUCAUCUGAGCCACACUUUCCUGGGGGAAAGAAAUUACUGAACUAAAUGAACAUGGAGCAAGGAAAUAAAAUAAUACCCACGC
Long non-coding RNA from Passer domesticus (house sparrow), 1594 nucleotides. RefSeq lists it as uncharacterized. The record is from RefSeq and is a predicted model, not a curated record. The transcript is spliced from 3 exons. Lineage: Eukaryota; Metazoa; Chordata; Aves; Passeriformes; Passeridae.